GGUGGGUCUGCCGGACCAGGACCAGGAAACAGCUGCUCGCACUCGGGCAGCAACAGGCUGAGGCCGCCCAGGGGUUCCUCCCACCGCCCGCAAAAACCAACCCGCCCCGGUUUUAGCGGCUGCGAGGUCCUCCCACCCAAUUCCACGCCCCUUCCUAGCGCGGGGCUUCUUCCGUCCCGGAGCCCCGCCCGGCUCCCGCCUCCCGCGCCGCUACCCCUUUCCUGGGGAGGUGGCGUAGGACUUCCUGAUUGCCGCGGGCCAUGCCACCGCAAGUCCCAACAGUCCAGCUCCCAGUCCCUAGCAUUUCAGCAAUCUGGACACUAGAGGAUUCCAAACAUUUCAGCUGUUUCCUGGACAACCCCUGGAGCUGCCACUGGUAACGCACACCCACGAGCUGGAACCCAGCAUCCCUCAAACAAGUGCUUUCCUCCAGGACUCUCAGUUCCUAAUGGGAUACCACCAUCCACUCUGGUGUGCCCACACCAGAAACUUAAAAAAAACCGUGAUUGGUGCCUCUCCUGAGCGUGGGACAGGAAGAGUUAACCUGCUGACAGACGGCAUUUUUUACCUUCAGUCAAUAUGAACAAGGCCCCAAGACUAUGAUUCCAAACAUCUGGAUUUCAUCAAUAUGUGAUCUGUCAUCGUAUAUUGGCAUUCCCCAGUCCCCGCGCCAGAGCGAUGCGGCUGGUUUUAUUAAUACGUCAAAUACAUUAUCCGUGUAAUACACUUGUCUGGCUGGGGCCUCCCGCUGGGGCGGGGCGGCGGAUUUGAAUGUAUGAUGAAUCAGUUUGCAUUACAUGUUCGUAAGUCA
This is a long non-coding RNA of Dama dama (fallow deer), 811 nucleotides long. RefSeq lists it as uncharacterized. The record is from RefSeq and is a predicted model, not a curated record. The transcript is spliced from 2 exons. Lineage: Eukaryota; Metazoa; Chordata; Mammalia; Artiodactyla; Cervidae.